AAACGAUGGAUGCCCGCUGUUAGCGCCUGGCGUUAGCGGCUAAGCGAAAGCAUUAAGCAUCCCACCUGGGGAGUACGCCGGCAACGGUGAAACUCAAAGGAAUUGACGGGGGCCCGCACAAGCGGAGGAACAUGUGGUUUAAUUCGAUGAUACGCGAGGAACCUUACCCGGGCUUGAAUUGCAGAGGAAUUAUUUAGAGAUAAAUAUGCCCUUCGGGGUCUCUGUGAAGGUGCUGCAUGGCUGUCGUCAG
Molecule: ribosomal RNA, 250 nt
Filed under: uncultured bacterium
Lineage: Bacteria
Description: partial 16S ribosomal RNA
Rfam family: Bacterial small subunit ribosomal RNA
Source: RNAcentral